Molecule: unclassified non-coding RNA, 483 nt
Filed under: uncultured fungus
Lineage: Eukaryota; Fungi
Description: partial contains small subunit ribosomal RNA, internal transcribed spacer 1, and 5.8S ribosomal RNA
Rfam family: Eukaryotic small subunit ribosomal RNA (bases 1-73)
Source: RNAcentral
GCAAACUUGGUCAUUUAGAGGAAGUAAAAGUCGUAACAAGGUAACCGUAGGUGAACCUGCGGUUGGAUCAUUAGAAGAAUAGAAAUUCCGGAUAGGAAUCCAAUAUGGAUUUCCUAAAGGCAACCCUUUCUCCGGUGAACUUUCCAUGCAUGUCUUUUGGCGGCCGAGGCAGACGAUUCGAUUGUCUGCUGGUAAAAGUGUAUACACCUUCGGUGUGUUAUUCAUGGUAUUCGCCACUCAGGAAUGAGUGGGUUGAGAAUCAUGCCGGCCGCCGCGAAAAAAGACAACACACACAGACCCUCCCUCCUUCCUUCCCUUCCCUUUCCCGCAAGGGAGAGGGAGGGAGAGAGAGUGAUAGGGUCUUUUUAUGUGUUUUACCUUUACUUUUUUUACGUCUGAGAUAAUGAGAAGCGACAAGCAAAACAACCAAAAACAACUUUUGACAACGGAUCUCUUGGCUCUCGCAUCGAUGAAGAACGCAGC